AACUACUCCACAGUGUUUUGAAAACACUAAAAAGACGAAGUCUAGUAGUUU
This 51-nucleotide transfer RNA is filed under the name Metacrangonyx sp. n. DJ2019. RNAcentral's name for it is "tRNA-Ser". The record is from RNAcentral. Lineage: Eukaryota; Metazoa; Arthropoda; Malacostraca; Amphipoda; Metacrangonyctidae.